CCUACGGGAGGCAGCAGUGGGGAAUAUUGGACAAUGGGGGGAACCCUGAUCCAGCGACGCCGCGUGAGUGAAGAAGUAUUUCGGUAUGUAAAGCUCUAUCAGCAGGGAAGAAAAUGACGGUACCUGACUAAGAAGCCCCGGCUAACUACGUGCCAGCAGCCUCGGUAAUACGUAGGGGGCAAGCGUUAUCCGGAUUUCCUGGGUGUAAAGGGAGCGUAGACGGCAGAGCAAGUCUGGAGUGAAAUGCCGGGGCCCAACCCCGGAACUGCUGUGGAAACGGUGAAGCUGGAGUGCAGGAGAGGUAAGCGGAAUUCGUGGUGUAGCGGGGAAAUGCGUAGAUAGCAGGAGGAACACCGGCGGCGAAGGCGGCUUACUGGACUGUAACUGACGUUGAGGCUCGAAGGCGUGGGGAGCAAACAGGAGUAGAUACCCCGGUAGUC
This 440-nucleotide ribosomal RNA is filed under the name uncultured bacterium. RNAcentral describes it as "partial 16S ribosomal RNA". It matches the Rfam family "Bacterial small subunit ribosomal RNA", at positions 338 to 795 of the family's 1533-position model. The record is from RNAcentral.